AGUGAACGCUGGCGGUAGGCCUAAUACAUGCAAGUCGAGCGGCAGCACAGUAAGAUCUUGCUCCUACGGGUAGCGAGUGGCGGACGGGUAAGGCAUAGAUAGGAAUCCUCUUAUACUUGGGGGACAUCGUAGGGAAACUUCCACUACUACCGCAUACGUCCUACGGGUGGAAGCAGGAGUUCUUCGGACCUUUCGCGUUUGAAAUAGACGGUGUCGGAUUAGCUAGUUGGCGAGGUAAAGGCAUACCAAGGCGACGAUCCGUAGCUGAUCUGAGAGGAUGAUCGGCCACACUGGAACUGAGACACGGUCCAGACUCCUACGGGAGGCAGCAGUAGGGAAUCUUCCGCAAUGGGCGAAAGCCUGACGGAGCAAUGCCGCGUGAGUGAUGAAGGUCUUCGGAUCGUAAAGCUCUUUUAUUGGGGAAGAACAACUGUGUAAGUAACUAUGCACGUCUUGACGGUACCUAAACAGAAAGCAACGGCUAACUACGUG
RNAcentral lists this ribosomal RNA (492 nucleotides) under uncultured bacterium. RNAcentral describes it as "partial 16S ribosomal RNA". It matches the Rfam family "Bacterial small subunit ribosomal RNA", at positions 29 to 507 of the family's 1533-position model. The record is from RNAcentral.